CCUACGGGAGGCAGCAGUAGGGCAUAUUGCUCAAUGGGGGAAACCCUGAAGCAGCAACGCCGCGUGGAGGAUGAAGGUUUUCGGAUUGUAAACUCCUUUUGUUAGAGAAGAUGAUGAUGGUAUCUCAUGAAUAAGCACCGGCUAACUCCGUGCCAGCAGCCGCGGUAAUACGAAGGGUGUAAGCGUUACUCGGAUUCACUGGGCGUAAAGAGAGCGUAGGCGGGAGAGCAAGUAAGCUGUGAAAUCCUCUGGCUUAACCAGAGAACUGCAUUUGAAACUGUUGGUCUAGAGUAUGGGAGAGGUAGACGGAAUUCUUGGUGUAGCGGUAAAAUGCGUAGAGAUCAGGAGGAAUACUAGUGGCGAAGGCGACCUGCUAGAACAUAACUGACGCUGAGGCGCGAAAGCGUGGGGAGCAAACAGGAUUAGAUACCCUUGUAGUC
Molecule: ribosomal RNA, 440 nt
Filed under: uncultured bacterium
Lineage: Bacteria
Description: partial 16S ribosomal RNA
Rfam family: Bacterial small subunit ribosomal RNA
Source: RNAcentral